UGGUGAAAUCAAAGGACAUUGGCUGGAUAAACUACGAAGGGAAUGGCAAAUGGAGAGAUCUUUCCAAACUGCUUUGUGGUUACUGCAGCCAGAUAUUGUUUUUAUUCUGGGAGAUGUCUUUGAUGAAGGAAAAUGGGACUCACCUCAGGUAUGACAUGAACAGCUCUCUUGUUUCAAAAAAUGAGGAUUUCUUGAAGGAAAUGGAUGGCAGAAGAAAAGAGACUAGGUAUGCAAGGCUUUGUUUUAUGUUACUUGCUUUUCUACUCAUAGAAGUUUGUAGUGUUUUAGAUAUGAAUUGAUGUGUUGUGAUUUUCCUUCAUUUUUAGUAAUAUCUUGGCACUUUUCAACUGAUAAAGAACAUAGGAAACGUGAGCAUUUUACUGAGCAUGGGCAGAUGAUGUCAGGAGAUUUCAGAAAAUGUUUAAGUAUCCAGUUACUACUGAGCUGGUGGUUAUUGUUGGGAAUCAUGACAUCGGG
This is a non-coding RNA of Meleagris gallopavo (turkey), 477 nucleotides long. The record is from RefSeq and is a predicted model, not a curated record. Lineage: Eukaryota; Metazoa; Chordata; Aves; Galliformes; Phasianidae.